UAUCGAAGUCACAGGACAUGUUAUGUGGUCCUCCCACUACGACUAGUCGGGAAAGCAUGCUGUUCAUUAGGGUACAGAUUAAAUCAAUUAUGAUAUCUUCACUGGGUGGUGAAAGAACACGGUUAUGAGCUCAAUUGAUGCUCAUUUCCAAUAAAUAUCGAGGGUCUUAUACUGGUGACAUGAUCAUCGAUGCUUGGUGGUCGUUGGACAAAUAAAAAUAAUCUUGUCCUUAAUAAUCUCGUCAUGUAGACUGGCCUACCCGCACUCUGUGAAUUGUUGGCUAAAGCGCAUGUGCCAACACCAGAGCCGUUGUAACACACUUAGGCGUAGUGGGUGCGGAGUCAGGUGCAGGAGACAGAAAGUUCUGAAUAGCGCUUUAAACAGCACCGGGCUAAACAGUAUAUACAACGAAACUGAGCGUCAUAAAACAAAAUGCCCAAAACAGGAAACAAACCAAGAUUACACUACCACACAUACAAAGUGGGAAUAAACAAGCCUGCACGGAGAGCAGGCGGGCCUACCGACUUAAAUAGCCAAACUAAAAGUCUAAACGAGAAACAGGUGAAACAAAUCAGACCAAACCAGACCCGGAGGACACGGCGCAGGGCGAUCCGGAUGGAGGCGAUGAAAAUCCCUCAACAUUGACAAAUCCAAGAUGUCCCCCACCGGUACCCAGCACCUCUCCUCCGGACCAUACCUCUCCCAGUCCACAAGGUACUGCAGGCCCCUCACCCGGUGUCUCGAGUCCAGAAUAGCACAUACUGUGUACGCCGGAGACCCCCGAUGUCCAGAGGGGGCGGAGGGACCUCCGGCACCUCACCUUCUUGCAGGGGACCAGCUACCACCGGCCUGAGGAGAGACACAUGAAACGAGGGGUUAAUACGAUAAUAGGAAGGGAGUUGUAAUCUAUAACACACCUCGUUUAUCCUCCUCAGGACUUUGAAGGGCCCCACACACUGCGGCCCCAGCUUCCGGCAGGGCAAGCGGGGGGGUAGGUUUCAGGUCGAGAGCCAGACCCUGUCCACCGGUACGAACACGGGGGCCUCACUGCGGUGGCGGUCAGCGCUCCUCUUCUGCCGUCCACCUGCUUGCUUGAGGGAUUCCUGGACAACCCUCCAGGUCUCCUUGGAUCGCUGCACCCACUCCUCCACCGCAGGAGCUUCGGUCUGACUCUGAUGCCACGGCGCCAGGACCGGCUGGUAGCCCAACACGCAUUGGAAUGGUGACUUGUCCGUGGAGGAGGGGCGGAGUGAAUUCUGGGCUAACUCCGCCCAUGGUACGUACCUAGACCACUCCCCUGGCCGGCCCUGGCAAUACGACCGCAGAAACCUACCCACCUCCUGGUUCACUCUCUCCACCUGCCCAUUACUCUCGGUGUGAUAACCAAAGGUCAAGCUGACCGAGACCCCCAGACGUUCCAUAAACACCCUCCACACUCGGGACGUGAAUUGGGGACCCCGAUCAGAGACGAUAUCCUACGGCACCCCUUAGUGCUGGAAGACGUGGGUAAAUAGAGCCUCCGCAGUCUGUAGGGCCGUAGGGAGACCGGGCAAUGGGAGGAGACGGCAGGACUUAGAAAACCGAUCCACAACAACUAGAACCGUGGUGUUUCCCUGAGACGGGGGAAGAUCGGUAAGGAAGUCUACCGACAGGUGAGACCACGGCCAUUGUGGAACAGGGAGGGGCUGUAACUUCCCUCUAGGAAGGUGCCUAGAAGCCUUACUCUGGGCGCACACCGAACAGGAAGAGACAUAGAACCUAACAUCCCUAGCCAAGGCGGGCCACCAGUACUUCCCCCUAAGACUCCGCACCGUCCUCGCCACACCAGGAUGACCCAAAGAAGGUAGUGUGUGAGCCCACCGAAUCAUUUGAUCACGAACACCAAGAGGCACGUACUUACGACCUGUAGAACAUUGUGGAGGUGCAGGUUCCACUCGUAACGCCCUCUCAAUGUCCGUGUCCACCUCCCAUACCACCGGUGCCACCAGCCUAGAGGCUGGAAGGAUGGGAGUAGGAUCGAUGGGCCAAUCCUCCGUGUCAUAUAGACGGGACAGCGCAUCGGCCUUAGUAUUCAGGGAACCUGGUAUAUACAAGAUGGUAAACCUAAAUCUGGUGAAGAACAUGGCCCACCUUGCCUGACGCGGAUUCAGUCUCCUAGCUGCCCGGAUAUACUCCAGAUUCCGGUGGUCAGUCCAGAUGAGAAAAGGGUGCUUAGCCCCUCAAGCCAGUGUCUCCACACCUUCAGAGCCUUUACCACAGCUAACAACUCCCGGUCCCCCACAUCAUAGUUACGCUCCGCCGGACCGAGCUUCUUCAAAAAGAAAGCGCAGGGGCGGAGUUUCGGUGGCGUACCCGAACGCUGUGAUAGCACGGCACCCACCCCAGCCUCGGACUCGUCCACCUCCACUAUGAACGCUAAAGAAGGGUCCGGGUGCGCCAACACGGGCGCAUCUGUGAACAGUGCCUUCAACCGAUUGAAAGCUCUGUCAGCCUCUGCCGACCACCGCAAACGCACCGGCCCCCCCUUCAGCAGUGAGGUAAUGGGGGCCGCUACCUGGCCAAAACCCCGGAUAAACCUCCGGUAGUAAUUGGCAAACCCUAAAAACCGCUUCUCCUGAGGUCCAGUUUCGUGAAAAACAGCGCCCCGUGAAAUGAUUCCACUGCCGUAACGAUGAGAGGUAGCGGGUAACUAAACCCCACUGUGAUGGAAUUGAGACCUCUAUAAUCAAUACACGGACGCAAACCUCCCUCCUUUUUUUCAGAAAAAAGAAACUCGAGGAGACGGGAGAAAUGGAGGGCCGUGACAGAGAUUCCGUGACAUAUGUCUCAGAGAUUCCGUGACAUAUGUCUCCAUAGCCAACGUCUUCUCCUGUGACAAUGGGUGCACGUGACUCUUGGGAAGCGCAAUGUUUACCUGGAGGUUUAUCGCACAAUCCCCCUGUCGAUGAGGUGGUAAUUUAGUCGCCUUCUUCUUACAGAAAGCGAUAGCCAAAUCGGCAUAUUCAGGGGGAAUGCGCAGUGGAAACCUGGUCUAGACUCUCCACUGACGUGGCACCAAUGGAAACUCCCAUACACCUACCUGAACACUCCUCUGACCACCCCGGAAGAACCCCCUGUCUCCACAAAAUCCUGGGAUUGUGACUGGCCAGCCAAGGAACCCCCAGCACCACUGGAAACGCAGGUGAAUUGAUAAUGAAGAGACUAAUCCGCUCCCUAUGAUCCCCCUGCGUCACCAUGUUCAGUGGAACCGUGGCAUCCCUGACCAGCCCUGACCCUAAUGGCCGGCUAUCUAGGGAGUGCACGGGGAAGGGGGGGAUCUAUCGGCACCAACGGAAUUCCCAGCUUGAGGGCGAGUCCGCGAUCCAUAAAGUUCCCAGCUGCACCUGAAUCGACUAGCGCCUUAUGCUAGGAAGAGGGGGAAAAAUCAAGGGAAAAAAUAUAUACAAACAUGUGACCUACAGGGGGUCUGGGUGAGUUUGAUGCUGACUCACCUGGGGUGACCGAGAAGUGUUUUGCCUGCCCUCUCAACUCCCAGAAGGACUCCUCCAGCACCGGUCGGACACGUGUCCUCUCCGACCACAGCUGGUGCAGGAGGAGCCUCCUCCUCCGGUACCCCUCGAAGCAGCCCCCCUAACUCCAUAGGAGCGGGAGGGCUAGGAGGUGGAACUGACAGGACCCUUUCUGAACGCCCGCAGGCAGCCAGCCGAAUAGACAUGUCUAUCAGUUCGUCUAGGGAGAGAGUGGUGUCCCGGCAAGCUAGCUCCCUGCGGACGUCCUCCCGGAGGCUGCAACGGUAGUGGUCCAUCAGGGCCCUGUCGUUCCACCCGGCCCCAGCAGCCAAGGUCCGGAACUCCAACGCAAAGUCCUGCGUGCUCCUUGUCUCCUGCCUAAGGUGAAAUAGUCGCUCAGCCGCCGCUCGGCCCUCCGGAGGGUGGUCGAAUACAGCCCGGAAACGGCGGGUGAACUCUGGAUAAUGCUCAUUCGCCGAGUCUAGGCCAUUCCAGACAGCAUUGGCCCACUCCAGAGCUCGGCCCGUCAGGCAGGAGACGAGGACGCUCACACUCUCCUCCCCCGAGGGAGCCGGCCUCACGGUAGCCAGGUACUCCCUCGGAGGCGCAAUACGAAGUGCGCUGGAGCCGGACACUGGGGGUGGAGUAGGUGGACUCAUGGGAGGAACCGGGGGUGAAGUGGGGAGACCACUCCUCUCCCAUCAGUCCAUUCUCUCCAUCAUCUGGUCCAUCGCUGACCCAAUCCGAUGGAGGAUAGUGGUGUGAUGGAGAACGCGUUCCUCCAUCGAUGGAAGGGGGGUGGCCGCUGCUCCUGCUGACUCCAUCGGUGGUGCCCGCUUCUAUAACACUCUUAGGCGUAGUGGGUGCGGAGUCAGGUGCAGGAGACAGGCUAGCCUUAAGAAGCUUUUGGGAAACCGGGCCCAGGUUUCUAAUGUUCAGUUCCUGCCCAUAUCUACCACUAGAAUACCUUGUUAUGUGAUCGCUAUCUCUCUCUCCACUGCUCAGGUACCAGGCCAACAUAGAGAAGAUUGACUAUGAGGACCAGAAGGUUCUGAUCCACUACCGUCAGUGGAGCCACUGCUAUGACGAGUGGUUUGGCUGGACCAGCCCCUACCUGAGACCCCUGGAGCGGAUCCAGCUGAGGAGAGAGGGUCUGCAGGACAACCAGCCCAGGCCCACCCCGGUGAGGGAGAAUAGAACUCACACCCAGUUGAGUUUCUGUCCGACUACAUUGCAGACGCCUGCUAGAUUUAAAACAGCAUGAGUGUUUCGGGCGAAUGAGAAAAUCUUAGCCUGUUGGGUAGACUGUCCCUACUACCCUGCUAAGGUCCUGGAAGUCAGAAGAGAUGGUUCCUAUACAGUGAAGUUUUUCGAUGGAGUCGUCAAGACCGUUAAGCCAACCAAAGUAAAGCCAUAUAAGCUAGAGAAAGUCAACACGAACUGAGGAAGAGGAGGGUGUCUCUUGGACAGAUGCCACCGCCAAAGAAGAAAAGGCCAGACACAAGCAAAGUUUUGGAGAGUAGGCUGGACUACACAGGGGAACUGGAACCUCCUGACCCGUUGACCCGAUUGCCUCAGCUCAAACAUCGCAUCAGACAGAUGGUCACAGACCUGGGCACCGUGCAUCAGAUGUCCCUCUGCUCCUCCAACACAUGAGUGCGCCACUGAGUUCAGCACUUCACCACAGAGACCUGGCUGGAGCAGGGCGUAGCAAGCAAGGCUACAGUACAAAUGAUGUGUGGGCAGGGUAGGGGAGUAACACAAACUGUCAUUAAUCAGUUAUUAUACGAGCAAAACUAUUGUAAUCAGAUUACAGAUACUUUUGAAAAACUACAUUACUUCUUGGAUUACUUUUCAAAUCAGAAAAAAAUACAUUAUGACACCUUUCAGUUUUCUUAAUGACAUUCAAUUCAGCAUUUUAAAAAAGGCGCAAGUUUAAGUUUGUUCCAACUGAGCAAGUCUGACCGGAUGUCAGAGACCACUAUGAUGACACACCAAAUGCAUUUGAUGGAUCCUUUUCUGUAUUCAGUCCAAAAGUAACUGAAAGUAAUCAGAUUGAUAAUGAGUUUAGAUAAUCCAAAAGUUACGUAACUGAUUACAAUUGUGGACAGGUAACUGUAACGGAUUACAUUUUUGAAAGUAACCUACAGUCCCCCAACCCUGUUGGGACAGAGACGUUAACAGGGGAUUCCUGACUGAGACACCUGCUACUACUGACGAUUCGAGAAUCAACAAUAUGAAAUGUCUGGCAACCUGCAUUCCUGCCACUGUGAAGCAGGAUGGAUAGGACAGGCUACUUUUCUGAAAUGUCUGGCAACCUGCAUUCCUGCCACGGUGAAGCAGGAUGGAUAGGACAGGCUACUUUUCUGAAAUGUCUGGCAACCUGCAUUCUUGCCACGGUGAAGCAGGAUGUAUAGGACAGGCUACUUUUCUGAAAUGUCUGGCAACCUGCAUUCUUGCCACGGUGAAGCAGGAUGGAUAGGACAGGCUACUUUUCUGAAAUGUAAGAAAAAUAAGAACAGAACAUAACCAUGUUCAACACUUUUAAUUUAGUUUAUUAAUUCGACCAUUUAAAAAAAAAAAAACACACAUAAAACUUAAAAGCCAUACAUGCACAUGAAACUUAGGUUUUUGAUUGUAAGUCAACCCCUCCUAAUAAUGUAGUUCUUGCAAUUAAAUGUAAAACAUGGUUAAUACUUUGUUUUUGCUAACAUAAAUAAUCCAUAUCCAACAGUGCUUUAUGAUUGGAUGGUUUUGCUGAAAGGUUAAAAUAAGGUUAAAAUAUAGACCACUGUAGGCUUUUUUUUCUACAGUUAAAUGUUUGUAUAACAUUACACAUGUUUGUUCAAUGUAAGCACAUAGGAUUACAUAUGUUUCAAAUGCAUAUUUUUGAUGAGUGUUUCAAUGAAAUGCAUUUGGAAAAAAUGGCUUAAUAAUGAUGUUUUAAGAUCAUAAAAAAUAAGGGUCACACUUUAUUUGGAUAGUCCGGAUUUUCCAUCUGUAGAUGCUCUACAGAUAGUAUGACCAUCUGUUGAUAAGCAACUGCUUGCUAAGGUUAGGUUUAGAAUAAGGUUAGCGUUAAGGGUAGGGUUAGUAGAUGGUUAGUUGAAAUGUUACUGAUAGUCUGUAGAGCAUCUACAGAUGGACUAUCCAAAAAGUCAUACAAAAAAACAAGUCAUUUUUAAAGGGAGGGGAAAUAUUUUCAUAUUUGCAAAUAUUGUCCUGUCUUUUGAAUGUCCAGAAUGUUCUUGAGAAUAGAUGGUAUCUUUCUAUAAAUGUUUCUUUCCUCAUAGAUAUUGACGUAGUAUAGAAUACAAAGUUAUUUAGAGGACAUUGCCAAUAUUAAUGCGUUUGCAAACAAACUAUAUUUUGUGAAUUUAAAUACUUUAAGAUAUUUCUCUUUGAUUGAAAUAUUUAGUUGUGAUGUUUGUUUUUUUGUUUCGUUUUUUGUUUUGUUUUGUUCUUAUUUCAUGUUUUUCCAUGCGGGCACUGUGCUCUUAUCCUUUUAUAUAUUCUGAUUCAGAAUUUUAUUUAUAAUUUUUUUGAUUGCAUCUUUGUAAUCAGUAAAGUAAUGGUAUGUAUAGCACGUAGUCCAUAGAGUAUAGGACUGUGUCACAGUAUAUUUAGUACUGAUAUACGCAGUACAUUGCCUGUGUACCCUUCCCUGGUGGGUAAAAACUAGAGGAUGUGUGUGUGCGUAUAUGUGUUGACUGGAGAGCAGUGGGGGAAAAGCAGAUGGAGCCAGCCCAGCAUAUGGCCCCACAGUGUGUAGUGAGAAGGCUCUGGAGUCCCUUAUGGUAGUGCCACCCAGAUUUUUAUAUUGGAAUUAAAGUGCAGACCUCUGCGUUUCCUUGUACCAUAUCGGGAAUAUUACUUUGGUUUCUUUCUAUUGUGCAUUUUCUUAAUCUUUGCAUGUGAAAUGGGUAUUUUAUUUAACUAGGCAAGUCAGUUAAGAAGAAAUUCUAAUUUACAAUGAUAGCCUACCCCAGCCAAACCCUAACGACCCUGGGCCAAUUGUGCGCCACCCUAUGGGACUCCCAAUCACGGCCGGUUGUGAUACAGCCUGGAAUCAAACCAGGGUCUGUAGUGAUGCCUCUAGCACUGAGAUGCAGUGCCUUAGACCACUGCGCGCCACUGGGCCCCAAAUUGACAUUUGACUUUGACCUGACCCAUUUCAGAAUGAUUUGUUUUCCCUUACUGUUUGUUUCAAUGGUUAAAUAAUACUUUAUACUUCAGCACAAAAGGUGCAUUUAAUUAUUAUUCCCCAAGUUGCUAGCAACAUUAGCUUACUACUGAUGGCAUUAGCUAUGCAGAUACUAAGCAUAACUGACAUGGAUUCAUUAAUUUGAAGUACCAGAGAUCUAUAAAAUCUUGCUAGCUACCGAGCGCACUGCCAGUAAGUUAUAUUCGCAACGAUGUUCACGCUGUGUGUUGGUUUCACUGCUUUGCUCCACCCGCUCACUUCUGGUGAGUUUUGCACUUGAGCUGUUUUAGUAAACGAAUCAACUACUCUCAUUAAGCUAACUUCCCAUAUUUUAAUUAACAGCCAUUUAAGCAGAAAUGUUAAUUUAUUGCACAUUCUAAUCAUUUAUUUAUUUAACUAGAAAAGUCAGUUAAAAACAAAUUCUAAUGUACAAUGAUGACCUACCACAGCCAAACCCUAACGACGCUGGGCCAAUUGUGCGCCGCCCUAUGAGACUCCCAAUCACCGUCGGUUGUAAUACAGCCUGGAAUCAAACCAGGGUCUGUAGUGACCCCUCUAGCAAAUUGACGUUUGAUGUGACCCAUUUCAGAAUGAUUUAUUUUCCCUUACUGUUUGUUUCAAUGGUUAAUAAUAUUUUAUAUUUCAGCUGUAUGUUGGCAGUGUCAGACUUAUCAAUGUCAGUUUUUUUUAAUGUAUUAGAUUCUGUCAUGAGAGGACUGAGAUUUUUUAAGAAAUAAUUAUUUAACAUUUCCAUGCAUGAAAAUAAACAUUUUUAUUUAUCUAAA
Salvelinus fontinalis (brook trout) is the source of this 8498-nucleotide long non-coding RNA. RefSeq lists it as uncharacterized. The record is from RefSeq and is a predicted model, not a curated record. The transcript has 5 exons. Lineage: Eukaryota; Metazoa; Chordata; Actinopteri; Salmoniformes; Salmonidae.